This 1299-nucleotide ribosomal RNA is filed under the name Escherichia coli. RNAcentral's name for it is "partial 23S ribosomal RNA". It matches the Rfam family "Bacterial large subunit ribosomal RNA", at positions 1519 to 2798 of the family's 2925-position model. Lineage: Bacteria; Pseudomonadati; Pseudomonadota; Gammaproteobacteria; Enterobacterales; Enterobacteriaceae. The record is from RNAcentral.
UGUAGGCUGGUUUUCCAGGCAAAUCCGGAAAAUCAAGGCUGAGGCGUGAUGACGAGGCACUACGGUGCUGAAGCAACAAAUGCCCUGCUUCCAGGAAAAGCCUCUAAGCAUCAGGUAACAUCAAAUCGUACCCCAAACCGACACAGGUGGUCAGGUAGAGAAUACCAAGGCGCUUGAGAGAACUCGGGUGAAGGAACUAGGCAAAAUGGUGCCGUAACUUCGGGAGAAGGCACGCUGAUAUGUAGGUGAGGUCCCUCGCGGAUGGAGCUGAAAUCAGUCGAAGAUACCAGCUGGCUGCAACUGUUUAUUAAAAACACAGCACUGUGCAAACACGAAAGUGGACGUAUACGGUGUGACGCCUGCCCGGUGCCGGAAGGUUAAUUGAUGGGGUUAGCGCAAGCGAAGCUCUUGAUCGAAGCCCCGGUAAACGGCGGCCGUAACUAUAACGGUCCUAAGGUAGCGAAAUUCCUUGUCGGGUAAGUUCCGACCUGCACGAAUGGCGUAAUGAUGGCCAGGCUGUCUCCACCCGAGACUCAGUGAAAUUGAACUCGCUGUGAAGAUGCAGUGUACCCGCGGCAAGACGGAAAGACCCCGUGAACCUUUACUAUAGCUUGACACUGAACAUUGAGCCUUGAUGUGUAGGAUAGGUGGGAGGCUUAGAAGUGUGGACGCCAGUCUGCAUGGAGCCGACCUUGAAAUACCACCCUUUAAUGUUUGAUGUUCUAACGUUGACCCGUAAUCCGGGUUGCGGACAGUGUCUGGUGGGUAGUUUGACUGGGGCGGUCUCCUCCUAAAGAGUAACGGAGGAGCACGAAGGUUGGCUAAUCCUGGUCGGACAUCAGGAGGUUAGUGCAAUGGCAUAAGCCAGCUUGACUGCGAGCGUGACGGCGCGAGCAGGUGCGAAAGCAGGUCAUAGUGAUCCGGUGGUUCUGAAUGGAAGGGCCAUCGCUCAACGGAUAAAAGGUACUCCGGGGAUAACAGGCUGAUACCGCCCAAGAGUUCAUAUCGACGGCGGUGUUUGGCACCUCGAUGUCGGCUCAUCACAUCCUGGGGCUGAAGUAGGUCCCAAGGGUAUGGCUGUUCGCCAUUUAAAGUGGUACGCGAGCUGGGUUUAGAACGUCGUGAGACAGUUCGGUCCCUAUCUGCCGUGGGCGCUGGAGAACUGAGGGGGGCUGCUCCUAGUACGAGAGGACCGGAGUGGACGCAUCACUGGUGUUCGGGUUGUCAUGCCAAUGGCACUGCCCGGUAGCUAAAUGCGGAAGAGAUAAGUGCUGAAAGCAUCUAAGCACGAAACUUGCC